GAUGAACGCUGGCGGCGUGCCUAAUACAUGCAAGUAGAACGCUGAAGCUUGGUGCUUGCACCGAGCGGAUGAGUUGCGAACGGGUGAGUAACGCGUAGGUAACCUGCCUCUUAGCGGGGGAUAACUAUUGGAAACGAUAGCUAAUACCGCAUAAAAGUCGAUAUCGCAUGAUAUUGAUUUGAAAGGUGCAAAUGCAUCACUAAGAGAUGGACCUGCGUUGUAUUAGCUAGUUGGUGAGGUAGCGGCUCACCAAGGCGACGAUACAUAGCCGACCUGAGAGGGUGAUCGGCCACACUGGGACUGAGACACGGCCCAGACUCCUACGGGAGGCAGCAGUAGGGAAUCUUCGGCAAUGGGGGCAACCCUGACCGAGCAACGCCGCGUGAGUGAAGAAGGUUUUCGGAUCGUAAAGCUCUGUUGUAAGAGAAGAACGAGUGUGAGAGUGGAAAGUUCACACUGUGACGGUAACUUACCAGAAAGGGACGGCUAACUACGUG
Molecule: ribosomal RNA, 497 nt
Filed under: uncultured bacterium
Lineage: Bacteria
Description: partial 16S ribosomal RNA
Rfam family: Bacterial small subunit ribosomal RNA
Source: RNAcentral